UACGUAGGGUGCGAGCGUUAAUCGGAAUUACUGGGCGUAAAGCGUGCGCAGGCGGCUUCGCAAGUCAGGCGUGAAAUCCCCGGGCUUAACCUGGGAAUGGCGUCUGAAACUACGGAGCUGGAGUGUGGCAGAGGGAGGUAGAAUUCCACGUGUAGCGGUGAAAUGCGUAGAUAUGUGGAGGAACACCGGUGGCGAAGGCGGCAUCCUGGACCGGUAUUGACGCUGAGGCGCGAAAGCAUGGGGAGCGAACAGG
Molecule: ribosomal RNA, 253 nt
Filed under: uncultured bacterium
Lineage: Bacteria
Description: partial 16S ribosomal RNA
Rfam family: Bacterial small subunit ribosomal RNA
Source: RNAcentral